AACUUGUAUCUCAAGGUGGGUGGCGCGU
RNAcentral lists this small RNA (28 nucleotides) under Bombyx mori (domestic silkworm). RNAcentral's name for it is "piRNA piR-bmo-2160944". The record is from RNAcentral. Lineage: Eukaryota; Metazoa; Arthropoda; Insecta; Lepidoptera; Bombycidae.